This 404-nucleotide ribosomal RNA is filed under the name uncultured prokaryote. RNAcentral's name for it is "bacterial SSU rRNA". It matches the Rfam family "Bacterial small subunit ribosomal RNA", at positions 355 to 776 of the family's 1533-position model. RNAcentral also lists the same sequence under 1 other name. The record is from RNAcentral.
UGGGGAAUAUUGGGCAAUGGGCGCAAGCCUGACCCAGCAACGCCGCGUGAAGGAAGAAGGUCUUCGGAUCGUAAACUUCUAUCCCCGGUGAAGAUAAUGACGGUAACCGGGAAGGAAGCCCCGGCUAACUACGUGCCAGCAGCCGCGGUAAUACGUAGGGGGCAAGCGUUGUCCGGAAUGAUUGGGCGUAAAGGGCGCGUAGGCGGCUCGGUAAGUCUGGAGUGAAAUUCCUGCUUUCAAGGUGGGAACUGCUUUGGAUACUGUCGGGCUUGAGUGCAGGAGAGGUAAGUGGAAUUCCCGGUGUAGCGGUGAAAUGCGUAGAGAUCGGGAGGAACACCAGUGGCGAAGGCGACUUACUGGACUGUAACUGACGCUGAGGCGCGAAAGUGUGGGGAGCAAACAGG